GGGAGGCAGUAGGGGCUCAGGGGGAGUGUGUGCAGCCCUGGCCCUCUCUGCCCUUCCG
RNAcentral lists this microRNA precursor (58 nucleotides) under Echinops telfairi (small Madagascar hedgehog). Its description in RNAcentral is "Ete-Mir-328_pre stem-loop". The record is from RNAcentral. Lineage: Eukaryota; Metazoa; Chordata; Mammalia; Afrosoricida; Tenrecidae.